GGGGAAUUGGGGUUUGGUUCCGGACAGGGAGCCUGAGAGAUGGCUACUACGUCCAAGGAUGGCAGCAGGCGCGGAACUUGCCGAAUCCUGAUGGGAGGCAGUUAGCAGAUGUUAUGUGUGUGGUGAAUUGCAACGAGAUUCGCUGUGAUUGGAGGGCAAGUCGGGUGCCAGCAGCCGCGGUAAUACCUGCUCCAAGAGUGUCUAUGGUGGAUGCUGCAGUUAAAAGGUUCGUAGUUGUGUUGAUGGUGUAUGUUUUGUGUGCCUGUGGCUAUAGCGGGCUGUGGAUGUAUGCGGCAACGGGCGCAACGGACGGGGGGCACUGGAUAGUUGGGCGAGAGGUGAAAUGUGACGACCCUGACUGGACAGACGGAGGCGAAGGCUGUGCUCUUGGACGGAUGUGUGGAUCAAGAACGAAGGCUGGAGGAUCGAAAUCGAUUAGAUACCGUUUUAGUUCCAGCAGUAAACGAUGCCGACUGGAUGGUGCUGUUGCACUGUCCGCGAGAAAUCUGUGAGUGUGUGGGCUCUGGGGAUAGUAUGUUCGCAAGAGGGAAACUUAAAGAGA
Molecule: ribosomal RNA, 562 nt
Filed under: Microsporidium sp. HEM-2006LFa
Lineage: Eukaryota; Fungi; Microsporidia
Description: bacterial SSU rRNA
Rfam family: Microsporidia small subunit ribosomal RNA
Source: RNAcentral